UACGUAGGGUGCAAGCGUUGUCCGGAAUUAUUGGGCGUAAAGAGCUCGUAGGCGGUUUGUCGCGUCGAAUGUGAAAACCCGGGGCUCAACCCCGGGCCUGCAUUCGAUACGGGCAGACUAGAGUUCGGUAGGGGAGUCUGGAAUUCCUGGUGUAGCGGUGAAAUGCGCAGAUAUCAGGAGGAACACCGGUGGCGAAGGCGGGACUCUGGGCCGAUACUGACGCUGAGGAGCGAAAGCGUUGGGAGCAAACAGG
RNAcentral lists this ribosomal RNA (253 nucleotides) under uncultured bacterium. Its description in RNAcentral is "partial 16S ribosomal RNA". It matches the Rfam family "Bacterial small subunit ribosomal RNA", at positions 524 to 776 of the family's 1533-position model. The record is from RNAcentral.